RNAcentral lists this ribosomal RNA (254 nucleotides) under uncultured bacterium. Its description in RNAcentral is "partial 16S ribosomal RNA". It matches the Rfam family "Bacterial small subunit ribosomal RNA", at positions 524 to 776 of the family's 1533-position model. The record is from RNAcentral.
UACGUAGGGGGCGAGCGUUGUCCGGAUUUAUUGGGCGUAAAGAGCUCGUAGGCGGUUCGGUAAGUCGGGUGUGAAACCUCCAGGCUCAACCUGGAGACGCCACCCGAUACUGCUGUGACUAGAGUCCGGUAGGGGAGCGUGGAAUUCCUGGUGUAGCGGUGAAAUGCGCAGAUAUCAGGAGGAACACCAGCGGCGAAGGCGGCGCUCUGGGCCGGAACUGACGCUGAGGAGCGAAAGCGUGGGGAGCAAACAGG